This 497-nucleotide ribosomal RNA is filed under the name uncultured bacterium. Its description in RNAcentral is "partial 16S ribosomal RNA". It matches the Rfam family "Bacterial small subunit ribosomal RNA", at positions 28 to 507 of the family's 1533-position model. The record is from RNAcentral.
GAUGAACGCUGGCGGCGUGACUAAUACAUGCAAGUCGAGCGAACGGACGAGAAGCUUGCUUUUCUGAUGUUAGCGGCGGACGGGUGAGUAACACGUGGAUAACCUACCUAUAAGACUGGGAUAACUUCGGGAAACCGGAGCUAAUACCGGAUAAUAUUUUGAACCGCAUGGUUCAAAAGUGAAAGACGGUCUUGCUGUCACUUAUAGAUGGAUCCGCGCUGCAUUAGCUAGUUGGUAAGGUAACGGCUUACCAAGGCAACGAUGCAUAGCCGACCUGAGAGGGUGAUCGGCCACACUGGAACUGAGACACGGUCCAGACUCCUACGGGAGGCAGCAGUAGGGAAUCUUCCGCAAUGGGCGAAAGCCUGACGGAGCAACUCCGCGUGAGUGAUGAAGGUCUUCGGAUCGUAAAACUCUGUUAUUAGGGAAGAACAUAUGUGUAAGUAACUGUGCACAUCUUGACGGUACCUAAUCAGAAAGCCACGGCUAACUACGUG